AGUGAACGCUGGCGGUAGACCUAACACAUGCAAGUCGAACGGCAGCACAGUAAGAGCUUGCUCUUACGGGUGGCGAGUGGCGGACGGGUGAGGAAUACAUCGGAAUCUACUUUUUCGUGGGGGAUAACGUAGGGAAACUUACGCUAAUACCGCAUACGACCUACGGGUGAAAGCAGGGGAUCUUCGGACCUUGCGCGAUUGAAUGAGCCGAUGUCGGAUUAGCUAGUUGACGGGGUAAAGGCCCACCAAGGCGACGAUCCGUAGCUGGUCUGAGAGGAUGAUCAGCCACACUGGAACUGAGACACGGUCCAGACUCCUACGGGAGGCAGCAGUGGGGAAUAUUGGACAAUGGGCGCAAGCCUGAUCCAGCCAUACCGCGUGGGUGAAGAAGGCCUUCGGGUUGUAAAGCCCUUUUGUUGGGAAAGAAAAGCAGCAGGUUAAUACCCCGCUGUUCUGACGGUACCCAAAGAAUAAGCACCGGCUAACUUCGUG
RNAcentral lists this ribosomal RNA (492 nucleotides) under uncultured bacterium. RNAcentral's name for it is "partial 16S ribosomal RNA". It matches the Rfam family "Bacterial small subunit ribosomal RNA", at positions 29 to 507 of the family's 1533-position model. The record is from RNAcentral.